This 493-nucleotide ribosomal RNA is filed under the name uncultured bacterium. RNAcentral's name for it is "bacterial SSU rRNA". It matches the Rfam family "Bacterial small subunit ribosomal RNA", at positions 28 to 507 of the family's 1533-position model. The record is from RNAcentral.
GAUGAACGCUAGCGGCAGGCUUAAUACAUGCAAGUUGAGGGGCAGCAUGAUAUACGCGAGUAUAUUGAUGGCGACCGGCGGACGGGUGAGUAAUAGGUAGGAGACCUACCUCAUACAGGGGGAUAGCAUAGAGAAAUCUGUGGUAAUACCCCAUGAGGUUAUAUGAAUAGAGGCAUAUAAUCAAAGCAUAAGCGAUUAUGCGGUAUGAGAGGGGCCUACUGACCAUUAGCUAGUUGGUGAGGUAAGGGCUCACCAAGGCGAAGAUGGUUAGGGGUUUUGAGAGAGAGACCCCCCACAUUGGAACUGAGAGACGGUCCAGACUCCUACGGGAGGCAGCAGUAGGGAAUAUUGGGCAAUGGGCGAAAGCCUGACCAGCCAUGCCGCGUGAAGGAAGACGGCCUUAUGGGUUGUAAACUUCUUUACUACGCGAAUAGAGGUUAGUACGAGAUACUAAUAGGAAGGUAGUGUAGUAAAAGCACCGGCUAACUCCGUG